Molecule: long non-coding RNA, 271 nt
Filed under: Lathyrus oleraceus (garden pea)
Lineage: Eukaryota; Viridiplantae; Streptophyta; Magnoliopsida; Fabales; Fabaceae
Description: Pisum sativum (pea) long non-coding RNA (PSAT_LNC037471)
Source: RNAcentral
AGUAUCACACAUUCUUCUCAUCUUCUUUUCCAUAUAGGUCUCGCCUAUUCUACUCUAACAAGUCCUCUAUUAUGUUCUUUCUUUUUUAUCUUUUAUGUUACUAUUUUCUCUUCCAAUUACGUUUUUAUUGCACUUUUCUUCUCAAUCUCGCAUCUCUUAUGUUCUUUUUUUCAUCUUCUCUAAUCUCUCAUCUCAUAUGUUUUUUAUGUUUUAUUAUAAUGUCUUUGAUAUUAUUUUAUGCUACUAUUUAUAUUUGUCUUUUAUUCCACUU